RNAcentral lists this ribosomal RNA (635 nucleotides) under uncultured organism. Its description in RNAcentral is "bacterial SSU rRNA". It matches the Rfam family "Bacterial small subunit ribosomal RNA", at positions 60 to 712 of the family's 1533-position model. The record is from RNAcentral.
AGUCGAACGGGAACUCUGGANUCGUCUGGAGGGGAGAGUGGCGAACGGGUGAGUAACACGUAUGUGACCUGCCUCGAAGACGGGGAUAGCUGCUGGAAACGGUAGCUAAUACCCGAUGGUCUCNGAUAUUCGGUUUGUCGAGUAAAGGCUCCGGCGCUUUGAGAGGGACCUGCGGNCCAUCAGCUAGUUGGUAGGGUAACGGCCUACCAAGGCGAAGACGGGUAGGGGGCGUGAGAGCGUGACACCCCACACUGACACUGGGACACGGGCCAGACUCCUACGGGAGGCAGCAGUGAGGAAUAUUGCGCAAUGAGCGAAAGCUAGACGCAGCAACGCCGCGUGGGUGAUGAAGGCCUUCGGGUCGUAAAACCCUUUUCUGGGGGAAGAGUAAGGACGGUACCCCAGGAAUAAGCCUCGGCUAACUAUGUGCCAGCAGCCGCGGUAAAUACAUAGGAGGCAAGCGUUAUCCGGAUUUACUGGGCGUAAAGAGCGUUGAGGCGGCUUCGUAAGUUGGACGUGAAAGCUCCCGGCUUAACUGGGAGAGGCCGUUCAAUACUGCGGGGCUUGAGGACAGCAGAGGGGGGUGGAAUUUCCGGUGUAGUGGUGAAAUGCGUGGAUAUCGGAAGGAACACCAG